This 352-nucleotide ribosomal RNA is filed under the name uncultured bacterium. RNAcentral's name for it is "bacterial SSU rRNA". It matches the Rfam family "Bacterial small subunit ribosomal RNA", at positions 28 to 381 of the family's 1533-position model. The record is from RNAcentral.
AUUGAACGCUGGCGGCGUGCUUAACACAUGCAAGUCGAGCGGUAAGGCCCUUUCGGGGGGUACACGAGCGGCGAACGGGUGAGUAACACGUGGGUGACCUGCCCUCAGCUCUGGGAUAAGCCUGGGAAACCGGGUCUAAUACUGGAUAUGACUCCAUGACGCAUGUUGUGGGGUGGAAAGCCUUGUGCGGCUGAGGAUGGGCCCGCGGCCUAUCAGCUUGUUGGUGGGGGAUGGCCUACCAAGGCGACGACGGGUAGCCGGCCUGAGAGGGCGACCGGCCACACUGGGACUGAGACACGGCCCAGACUCCUACGGGAGGCAGCAGUGGGGAAUCUUGCGCAAUGGGCGAAAG